This 355-nucleotide long non-coding RNA is filed under the name Vigna radiata. Its description in RNAcentral is "long non-coding RNA (VRAD_LNC015632)". Lineage: Eukaryota; Viridiplantae; Streptophyta; Magnoliopsida; Fabales; Fabaceae. The record is from RNAcentral.
CCUAUAUUCUGGUUAGAGGGUUAGAGAGGUGUUUUAUAUUUUGAUGUGGAGGUCUCUAUAGAAACCUUGUUGUAAAAACCUUGACCAUUAUAGUGCAUUUGCUUCCGAGUACAAUAUAAAAAUUGCGUUUGAAUCUUCUAUCCCUGCACUCUUUACAUUUCAAGUCGACUUUGCAUAUAACGUAGUCAACUAUUUUCCGCUACACUUGAAUAAUCUUUUUCCUUGUGUUUCAAGAAAUGUAUUUCACUAAUUCACCCUCCUCUUGGUGUUGAAACUAAGCCAUUCUAUUUUCAACAAUUGGCACUAGAGUUGGUUUUCAUAAGAUAUUUGAAAAACUAGUCGAUUACACUUUUCU